Small nuclear RNA from Cyprinus carpio carpio, 143 nucleotides. Its record names the gene U4. It matches the Rfam family "U4 spliceosomal RNA". From Rfam's summary of the family: U4 small nuclear RNA (U4 snRNA) is a component of the major U2-dependent spliceosome. The structure of U4 snRNA from yeast and human has been reported. NCBI's taxonomy places the organism in Eukaryota, Metazoa, Chordata, Actinopteri, Cypriniformes, Cyprinidae. The record is from Ensembl.
AUUCUUUCGCAGAGGCAAUAUUGUAGCCUAUGAGGUUUAUCCGAGGCGCGAUCAUUGCUGGUUGAAAACUUUACCCAAUACCCCGCCAGGAUGACUUGAAAUACAGUCAGCCUUGGCAAUUUUUGGCCAGCUUCUGUGGAAGC